UGUGGUCGCCGGACUUCAGCACUGCUUCAAGCUCAAGAUGCUGAUGAACAUUUUGCAGGUGACGAACCGCGGGACGGGCGCGUCGAUCACGGCGAGGAUCGUGGACCAGUGCAGCAACGGCGGGCUGGACCUGGACUUCGAGACGGUGUUCAAGAAGAUCGACACCAACGGGCUGGGCUACCAGAUGGGACACCUCAACGUCGACUACCAGUUCGUCGGCUGCUGAGUCAGAGAGAGAGAGAGUGGGGGGGGGGGCAUCGACAGUGUAGUCAGGCAGGGUAUCGGACGUUUGGUGUUGUGGAGUAAUGAGAUGGAUAGCAGAAGCUUUGCGUCUUUAGUUUGCAGGCAUGUGUGUGCAAAAUACUAAAUAAAUGGAACCAAAACAGAAAUAAGUUGCAUGUCAAUGUUUUCUCGCGUGUUAAAUUGUUAGUUCUGAUCCUUUUGCUUUCCAACAUACGAGAUAAAUCAUGUUCAUCUUUAAUAUAUUUUUUAUGCUGCCGGUUCAAUUUAAUUGUCUGUUGAUAUGCGAAAUGUGGCAUCAAAAUAUCCAAGAAGUUUUUGGCUUUUACACGGCAUACAAACUUCACUUUCAGACCUCAUCUUCAUGCUCAAGCGGCGAACCAGACAGUUUCCCUUCUCAAACUGGCAUCGUCUGCGAUGAUGUUUGAACACGCAUCGCAGUCCGAUAACCGCAGGAUGGGUCACUGGUUUUGACUAGAUUCUGCAAUAGAAAAAGUCAUUCCAUAGUAGAUUGGAAGAAUUAAUCCAGAUCACCAUGAAUCAUGAAUGAUCAGAUCAAUCUUGAACUAACUGUCAAUCUAGAAAUGUGUGGCCGUACGUUUCAGAUACUCUUUUACUACGUUCUCUAUAAUUUUAUAGAUAGUCUUGCACCAUAAUCAAGAAUAGGGAAAUCUGUUCGUGGCAUACUGUGAAAGUGUGAUUUUGUGUGAUGCACACUGUUGCUUCUAUCCAUGAAUAUUUCACUGCUGCAAGUAGGAUUAUCAUAGUCUCUAUCCAGGGUUUGAGUUUCCAUCUGUUGAUGUUACCAUAUGGGUUGUUUGGGAGAAAAUAGUCCAUUUUUUUACUAAGUCGUUAAAUUUCUAUAUUAACGAAAUCUGCAUCCACCCCUUACUAUUAAUCAACAUGUCAUCUGUCACUGAAACAAUAACACCAUUUAUUUAUAGGAUAAAUUCCUCGUGGCUUAUUGGGAAAAUAAAUCUAUCUAGUCAAAGUCAAGUACGUAUACUUCAUGUAUCCGUAUACUUUAUGUAUCCAUGAUCAGUUCUAAACCUAGUCUCAAUGGAAGUUCCAUAGAGAGUUUUAUGAGCAUUAAAUUUCAUGCCACAUCAGCAACUUGGCUAACUUGGCAAGAUCAUUCAAAUGAGAGGACGGGGAAUUUCAUCAGAUGAGAGAGGAGUUUCAUCCCCAUGACAGUCAGUUGACGCGGUUACCUAGUUCCCGAUCUUAGUAACUGUGCAAUAAAACUGUACACCGAUCAAGUUUUAACUCUUUUUUUUUAUCCAAUAUCGUGUUUUAACUUUCAAGUAGGGCUCCGCCUCCACGAUCUCCACUCUACUUCCAAAGGAUAUGUUAAGUAAUCCUUGCAAGUACCUUUUGGUAACUUUCGAAGCGCAGUAAGAAAACCUCACUUCAUGGCCAACCAAUGCAACCAUCGAUCAAUGCACAGAAGAGAGUAGUGCACGUGGUUGCUGCAGCGGCGGCCGCCGUCAAUCAUAUCUUCUGCUCUCUCUCCUAGCAAGCUAGGCAGCCAAGAUAGGUCAAGAUCUGCGUGCCACCAGCUAGUGUGGCUGCUUAGCUUCUUCCUCCCAUGUCCAUGUUAACGAGUGCGCCGGCCACCAAAGACUUUUGCUCCUCUUCGGUCUGGAGUCCAGAGUCCAGACGGUACAGUGCUGCUGGAAUUCCAUGCCAUGGCGGGCUGGUGGCGCACGCACCUCGGAGGCCGACGGCGACGACGCUUGCGCUUCCACACACCUGGCGCUCGCUCUGGCCACGUGCAUGCAUCAUGUGUGUGUGUGUGUAGCUCGCUCUCGAUCGCUUUCCGUUGCCAUCCGACGCACGCAAGAAGAUGCAGUGCGCGGCGGCGAGUUGGCAGCUCCCGCUUGACCGAUCUCGAGCCGCCGCACGGGCCGGUCAACUUGGAAAGGGACAUGGCCACAUGGGAUCGAGAACACUGGAGGAUAAUAUAAACUAGCUAGAGGACACGGCCGGUGAGACUAGUUCCGCCAACACCGGCGGCGAGCUGUGAGGACAAUGUGAAUUGUGGUAGGCAAUCACCGGCCGGGGGUAGAAUGAAACCCUAGCAUCACUUUUCUUCUGUCCUUGCAAGAAAAUUCAACAUUGUCCGGCACCCGGGCCUCUAUAUAAGCUGGCAGCCUCAGCUGCAAUCCACUCCACGGAACACAACACCUCACAGGCAUCGUUCGUGCCAACCACUGCAUUCUACAUCGACUUGGCAUCUGCCAAAACUAGGAGCUCACAAGGUCGGCAUCCUACUCUGUUCAAUUCUUUCCUCGCCAGAAACACAGAUGCUAAAUUGCUUCUUGAUGUACAAAUUUGUUGUGAAUUCAGGACCCAGCAGCUAUGGCGGCGAUCACGGGUGGACGGGCGCUCGCGGUGGCGGCGCUCCUCUGCGCCAUGGCGGCGAUGGCCGCUGCGCAGUCGGCAUCCAACGUGCGCGCGACGUACCACCUGUACAACCCGGCGCAGAACGGCUGGGACCUGAACCGCGUCAGCGCCUACUGCGCCACGUGGGACGCCAACAAGCCGCUGUCGUGGCGCCAGAAGUACGGCUGGACCGCCUUCUGCGGGCCCUCGGGCCCUAGGGGCCAGGCCUCCUGCGGCAAGUGCAUCAAGGUACUCCUUUGUUAGCUAUUUCAAUAUUCGAAUGAAACUAAUGAUUUUUUUUAAUCAGCAAUUGGUCUCUUGUUAGGCAAAUUUGACCCACAAGAUUACAACACAAUUGGCACCACUUCUAGAACAAAAUUAAUGGUCAAACCGUACCUAAUUGUUAUUUGAAAUGAUGUAAAAUUGUGCAAUCCACUCAUAUAUAUGCUUGGAUGUUGAUCGAAUUUGAUUAAAAUUGCACGUAGGUGACGAACCGUGCUACGGGCGCGUCGACCGUGGCGAGGAUCGUGGACCAGUGCAGCAACGGCGGGCUGGACCUGGACUUCGAGACGGUGUUCAAGAAGAUCGACACCAACGGGCAGGGCUACCAGAUGGGGCACCUCAACGUCGACUACCAGUUCGUCGCCUGCUGAGGAAGCUCCCGCACGUACGGACGGAUGAAAAUAUGAAAUAAGCGUCGCUUAGAUGCGUGGCAUGAUGGAAUAAGAUUAAAUGUAACAAAAAAAAAGACCCGG
This 3380-nucleotide long non-coding RNA is filed under the name Setaria italica (foxtail millet). RNAcentral describes it as "long non-coding RNA (SITA_LNC006102)". Lineage: Eukaryota; Viridiplantae; Streptophyta; Magnoliopsida; Poales; Poaceae. The record is from RNAcentral.